Long non-coding RNA from Mauremys reevesii (Reeves's turtle), 1662 nucleotides. RefSeq lists it as uncharacterized. The transcript is spliced from 4 exons. The record is from RefSeq and is a predicted model, not a curated record. NCBI's taxonomy places the organism in Eukaryota, Metazoa, Chordata, Testudines, Geoemydidae.
CAGAAAGGGGGGAAGCCAGGGAGUAGAAGGAGAGUGUAUCUCUUGGCUGUAGCAACUGGGAAGUCCUUCAGGUGGCAAUUCCCUUGCUGUAUAUGGCCAUAGACUUGCACCCUUUGCCAUCCAGACCCACCACUUUUGGUUUAACUAUGGCAUACUUUGAAGACUGAUAGCCUCUAUUGAUCUGAAGACUUCCACCAUAUCCCUUGAUGCCAUGAUUCUGAAGCUGUAGUUGGCCAGAAGGUGCUUAUCCCACUGCGACACCCCUGUGAUGGCACAACUUCCAGGGAGCCGUGCUGGACCUUAGAAGGGUCAUAGAAUCAUAGACUCGUAGGACUGGAGGGUGCCUUUCACCGAAUCUGAAUAUACUAGACCCUCCUCGUUAAUGACCCCAGGACUUCCUAUUUGGGGAAUACAAAGAAUAAUGCAUCUGCAGCUUACAGGAAGUCAAAGGCUCUGAUUUCCUGCAGAGGCAGUACAAGAACAAACCGGGAACACAUAUUUCACAACGGCAGUCGAAAGUGCACGUAAGCACCCUGGCGGCCUCCAAGAUGAAAACAAUUGGAAGGGGAACAUCCCUGGUCCCAAAAUCAUGUGCUGGUGUUUUGUUGCUUACACAAUAUGCCAUUAGAAAGUAGAUGUAGUUCAAGGUUAAUGAUUUUUUCAGGUGAUUAUAAAAUUUCCCCUUGGCAUGUGUCCUGGCUCUUACUUUCUUCAUUAGAACAAUCUUACUGAUGUAAGCGACAACCAUGAACUUAAUAUCAUCUACUUCUCAGAACAAUACAGCGACAUAUUCCUUUCUGGCUCUGUUUAAACGAGUGGGACCAGAUUCAUCCUGGUGUAACUCCAUCUAUUUCAGUGGAGUUUGCAUCAGGGUGUAUGUGUCACGUCAUGUUCAAGGGUGAGCCUGACUGAAGAUACUGUAUGUACUUGUCAUGAUUGUUAAUCAGCACAGAAUUUAAUCUGGACAAAUUGUGCAGCAGACCAAAUCUUAAUCAUAUUCUAGUUGUGAUUUAAAAUGAAAGACACAUGGAUAAGUGCAAGUAGCAGCCAACCUUCUGGGGUUAUGCAAUGUGAAAAGAGGGCAGGGGGAAAUAGAGCUUCCUAAGAAAGAGGCGUUAGUAAUUCCAUAAAGCAACUGAACGCUCCUUUAUGCACAAAAAGUAACACUUUAAAUUGUCCCCAAAAUUGCUUUGCAGUUGUUGUAUUUAAGGUACAUCAUCAACUUAAGUCACACUUCUACCUCAAUUUUUUUCCUACUACCGUUACAAGUAAUACUUUUUUGGGGGUCUGGGGAGGUUCAGUGGAUUUACUUUUGUGCAUUUAACAGCACUUUAUUAUAGUCACAUUGACUGUUUUGUCAUAGUUGUUUUGCCAGUGUCAAUGUAUUCAUCCCUGUUGAUUCUCAGUACAAGAAAUCCCAUUAUUUAUAUUCUGUACCGAUACCAUAAAAGCUGUGCAUAAUAAGAUCUAAAAAGGGGCAGAGCUUUAGUCUUAUCUCAGAAACAGUUUUAAAUCAAUCCACUCCAUUGCCUUCCCUGGAAUUGUUCCUGAUCCGUGCUGGUGUAAAAUAGGAGAAUCAGGCCCUUCAGAAUGUUUAGAAAGUGCUAAAACAUGGUCUAGUAUACUUCACUGAGGAAAGAGUGACUAAGCGGAAACGGAAUU